Molecule: long non-coding RNA, 8066 nt
Organism: Aquila chrysaetos chrysaetos
Lineage: Eukaryota; Metazoa; Chordata; Aves; Accipitriformes; Accipitridae
Exons: 3
Source: RefSeq, a predicted model, not a curated record
UUGUUGCCUUGAUAUCAGGCGAAGUCCCACUGCGAAGACCCCGCGCCCGGCCAGCUGCUUUUCCCGUCACUCCUCUGAAUGCCAGAGACAAAGAAACAGGCUGAGAAGAGUCAAAGCCUUCGAUCUGGGAAUGAUUUCUUCCCUUCAAAUGUCUGUACAGGCAGCAAACAGGCCUUGUGCUCCAAAACUGGGGCACAGGUAUACGUCAUACGUCUUUUCUGUGAUUUUUUUUUUUUUUCUUUUACUUUUCUUGCUAGGAAGUCUCAUCAUUGCUGAGAGCAAGGAGGUGAUGGAAAGAACAGGGUGAAUGGGAAGGUCUGGGCAGCAGUGAUGGGGUGUUGCUCUUCAUAGCAGCCCUUGCCCUGAACCCAACCCAUGCUCAAAAUCUGAAAUCAUCCAUCGUGAGAUCAGGAAAAAAGUCAUCCCAAGCAGUUUAUUUGCUGAGGAACUGUCCUGAUGUACAGCUGGGGGUACUUGCUUUGCACCGGUGCAGGAUCUCGCUUGUUAUUUCAGUGUCAGUGCAGGAGUUAAGUGGAAGUGUGAGAGUGAUGGAUGCUCAGGGACAGGGGAGCCUGACAGGCUGCAAACUCUGUGCAGACUCGGAGAAUUGCUGGCUAACAGCUUUCAAGGCUGCAAAUGAGCUUCCCAAAUUAUUAGAGCUGGAGAACAGGAUACCUUUAAAACAACCAAUCUGUCACGAGACAUAUCCUGUAUCUGUCAGAGGCCAGCGUGACUCCGUUGGGGGAAUCCGUGACAAAAAUCUAGGGAGAGCUGUAAAAAAUGCAUGUUGAUGUAGUUGUUUUGACAUGACAUUUCUUUUUAGGCAGCCUUAAGUGAUAUCUGCUGCCACUGGAGAUAGCACGUGCCAUCUCUGCUAACCAGCAUCUCCGCGGUGGCUCUCACUGCUGCUGAGAAAGCAGGAUUGUCCCGCAGUCUUGCAGAAGGAGAGAAGACGUGUCCAAGGUGCAGACGCUGUCAGUGCAGUGCUCGGUGGCAGACCUCAGACAGCCCAGACCCCCAGGAACAUGGCUGGGUUGCUUCAUCUCUGUGUACUCCAGUUCCUCGCCUGUGGAAGAGGGAUUAUAGCAGCGCUGACCCUUCCCGGACACCUGUGAGCACAGGUCUGUCGAUGGCUGGGGAUGCACAGGUAGAUUCACUGCAGGGUGAUCCUCAUGUGGUAUUAAUAGCUGAUGCCACCGCCAAGACCCAGGUCCCACGUCAAGACCUUGGGCACAUUUUGGGUACUUGAAGGUAGAUGCCUGGUGCCAUUUAGGUGCCUUGCAGGACCUCACCUGGCCUCCAGCUGCUCUUCCAGCAGGCUCAGGUGUCCCGUAGAUCCUGGCAGCCCCAUGGUUUGCCCUGAGACCCCACAGCAUCUCACGUGGCACCAGACAGAUACCUCUGUUUAGGGCCCUGAAUCCCACCCUUGCUCCCCUGGACAGUGGGUCGCACCCAGUGGUGACCGCUGCCCUUGGGUCUCGUUGGUGGCCACCUUCAUGCCAUGGGCUGACGGGGGCCACCGUUGACAGCACCAGCACUGGGGUUGACUGUGUAGGCUUUCCCGCACCUGGGAAGUUGGGCCUAUUCCCAGCACCACUGCUUAUGUCAGCUGCUACGGACAGAAUGAUUUAUGGACACAUUAUUAAAACCAUAUUUUCAGCCUCAGAGCAUGAGGGAACCGGUGGGUGGUACUGGAGGCAACAUGCCCGGGGAGGAUGGGGGUGCUCCUCAGACCACCUGGCUUCUCAACAGAGAUGAAGAGCAACAAGUUUGGGUAACAGGCUGGCCCAAACCACCGGAGAGGAGAUGCUGGAGCAGGUCUAGCCUCGCUCAGGAGGAAAAGAUUAGCCAGGAAACAUCUCCCACCUCCUCCCGCCCUUAAUGUCAUUCAUCAACUGCUUCUGCUCUCCAUCACUGUCAGGCACUGAAUUUCUGCACGUGGAUGGGCUGCUCAGAGACAGGGGAGAUGGUAACACGGUGUGGGGUGAGGGAAGCAGAUGCAAAUGAUGGUGAACUGAUCCAACUAUACGCUUUCUGCAAGGGCACACCAUAUCGGAGUUACUGACGUGCCCAACCUGCCGGUGAGCAGCGGGGUACACUUGGCAUCUGGAGGGCUCUUCUCAGAUAAGCUCAUCACGGUUUCCAAGCAAAUAUGUGGAAAACAUUUGCAGGGCACCUGCUCCCCCACCCUCACACCUGGAGACCUUCUGCCUUCACCUCUUUGAAUGAUCAGCUGCGCUCACUCAUCGCCUCUGGGACCUGGCCCUGCUCCUCCAGACCCGUUCAUCACACCAUGCCAGAUGGGUCCCUCCUGCCUUUUAAGCAGACGAGAGCACCAUAUGAUUUCAUGGCCGUGCCGGCACGGCGUGCACCUGCCUGGAAAGUGCUCGAGCACUUCUGGUGCCGGGUGCGUGACAUAAAUCUGUGGAUCUUGGUUCCUGCAUGUCCUCGUGGGACUCCUAGAGAUAUCGGUGUGCUCCAGUGAUACCAGGUAUUUGCUCUCCAGCCCCGGUGCUUUACCAGCCCACCAGAACAAAUCCCAGUUGCCUACCCUCCAGUCCAAAGUCCCCGAGUUCAGAGAAGUGAGGACACACCAGAUGGUCUGGCACGGCCCAGUGAUGGGAGCCAGGCUGGGGAGAGCAGGGCGAAGGCUGGAUAAAGCUCAUGGAGAUGGCUGGUUUGCUACCUUGAACUUGUUGGGGCUUUUUCUUAUUGCUAACAUCUGUGGUAGGGCAAGAGGUGUGCGAGGAUCUACCUGUCCGUGGGCUGCAGAGUGGAGGUGACCUUUCCACGGGCCAGCACCGAGCAGCUCGGAGAGAGCGGGGCUGUGCGACUGCUGAAAUGGCCUGGCAGGAGGUCUUUAAAUUGCUCGAUGGCUCUGUACUGAAAAGCAAUACCUGCUGAGAUUAAACCGUUUGGCCUCCUUCCCCCUGUCUCCAAGGCAAACAUAGACAGUUCUAUUCAUACCCACAAGAAAUACAUAUUUCAGCAUUUGAUUCUUUUUGUGUGUGCUUUGUUUUAUCUAGCGCCAUGGAGCUUGGAUGUCUUUUUCAUCUCAUAUUGUGCUUUGGAUGCAGCCUCUUUUAUUCAGCCCUCUUGCUGCCUUCAUAAAGAAUAACAGCGGCAGUUGUUGUUUUUUCCCCUGGAGCAUGGGCUGCUGUAAACCAAAGGGAAACUUCUUGCUGAAAGAGGAGAGAGCAGGCAGGACACUGCCGUAUCCAUUUCCACACCAGAGCUGCAGCCCUGCAGGCCACGCCGUUUGGCUUUCUCAAGCCUUCAUGGAGAGCAACAAAUUGUCCUAUAAAAAUUCUUUUCUUGAAUUUUAUUUUUCUAAGGAGACAGGGCCAACUUGUAAACUUGGGACUAAAAUCUCCUACUUCUUAAAUGGACAGCAAAGUCCAAGAUAGAAGCCGUGGCACUAAAAUGUAACAGGGUCUACGGAUUCUGCCUCUCUCUCUCCCUAAAUUUGCAUCUGAAGCCUCCUUUUCCUGGAUGUGGAAAUCCGUUUUGUGGCCUUUGCUAAGCCCCAUCUCAUACAACCUCUCAGCAACUGUCAUAAAGCAGAAAACCUUGCAAGGACAUUUCUGCUUAUCUUCCAGUUGAAGAGAGACAAGAGCUGCUGGCCCAAGCGCCAGACCUGAAGGAUGUGGUCCAGCCUCACCUCCGUUUCCCCAUGAAGGUAAUUCGGGGUGAGGAUGGGAACUGCUGCCCCCAGCCUCUUCCUCUCCACACCCAGUUUGAAAGUCAUGCUGUACGUGUACCAGACAGCCAAAGGUGCAUGAGCCCUGUCCCGAGGGAUCAUCCAUCUUGCUGUCGGUGGCUGUGCUGCUCACAUCUGUGCUUCCCCCUGCUUAUGCCAUUAGCUCCGCAGCAUGGCCCAGGAACAAGUGCAGCCGGGGUUUCAGCUCCGCAGGUCACCAGCUGCUGAUAAAUUGCUUUCCUGGAGAUCAAUCGCUUCCCCUUUGCCAUGCAAAACGCCUGGGCUGCCUGCAUGGAACAGUUCUGCCGGACACCGGGGAGAGGUCCCCAUCCGUGGUCAUGCUUGAGACACUCUGAAAAACAGUAAGAAAAUAAGGGCCCCAUGUUCAAACCAAGACAGGGGAAAGGCUGGGGAGGGGGGACGACACCUGGGCACCCCCCUUUUCACUCCUCCUUCCUCUUCCUUUUUGCUCCAGCCUUGCUCUGUGCCUGGAGGUGGACAACAUCCAGGGCAAUGUGUGUUUGGGGCUGUCUAAGAUGCAACAAAGAACCUCCCAUAGGUCUCAAUUAUACAGAUCCUCCCAUUUUAGUUAUUUCCACCCUAAUUAUAAAUAACAAGCUAAGCAGAAAUGUCUUCAUCCAGAAACCUUUAGGCACUGGUUCCCAAUCAUCCAGCUUGGAUUAUCUUCCAAACAGGGUGCUGCAAACUACACCAUCCUUUCCCUGUUGGGUCUACUGCCGUGGUGGUUUCCAGUGACCAUGAGCGAUGCUGGAAGCAAGAACAUCUUGUGGCAAUAUGUUGCCCUUGAACCUUGAGCUGGGAAUCACAGGGUUUAAGGCAUUUGAAAUCUGUGUCUGAAAUUUGUGACUCGUGUCAUGCUCUGACCUGAGAGAAGGGAUGCUUUGAACUGGGGUUGCUCUAUGAGUUAAGCAGAGCAGCCCUCCCGGGACCCACGGUGUCUGGGAGGCAGUGGCCAGCAAUACCCUUCCCAACUCUACGAUCUGGUCCUUCACACCCAGGUAAAUACCAAAACCUCUUAUUUUUUUAAACAGAUGAGCCUCUCUUUGUCUUGGGCUGUGUGUCUGCCCAAAAGUGGGGCCAAGGCUGCUCUCACUCCUGUUUUCCCCGGAGCAAAGGGCCAGGUGAGGGAUGGCCAGUACCAUCCCUGCUAACGGAGCUGCAAAUCCAACCCUCCGGCACUCAGGGCGGCGGAGGCAGGAUGGGCAGGGUUGGGAACAGCAUCUCUUUGGCCACAUGCAUCUCUUCAGCUGCACAGACCACCGAAGACAAAUGAACUGGAGGAAGCAUUUCCUCUGCCGAAGGCUGACACCCGGGAGGUUUCUGUUCACAGUGUAGGUCAAGAGUUGAAAAAUGAAGAAGAAAGGAAAACAGAUAGAAAGAUCCAUCUUCCCUUAUAAAAUCCCCAGAGCAGGGGGCAUUUGGAAGUCAUUUUUCACUGAGCUGAGAGCUGUUUCUGGCCCUUUAGCAGACAUUAUUCUCUUCUCAAACCUCAUAGUUUGGGACACGGGGAAGCACUUGCCCUCCAUCCUCACGGGUGUUGGAAGAGGAGCAUUAUCCUGGGUGCAAGACACCUAGCACCUUCCUCUGAGGCUGGGCUCCACGGUGAUUUGGGCUUUGGGGCAAGGCGGAGCCCAAUGCACGCUGAAAAUUGCUCUGUUCCUCCCCCUAAUGCAUUUGAAAUGCAUUAGGGCUGAGAUGCAAAAAGAAAUGAGUGGCUUGGAUUUGCUGGCAUUAAUGCACAGGUUAAGAGGGACAGCUUUUAAGGGGGAAAACCCAUGCAAGAAGACGAAGGAGAACUUCAGCAUGGUUAAAGGAAAUCUAAAUAAAAUGCCUUUCUGGAAGGAAUUCAAGAAAAUUAUUUUCCUUCUGUGUUUCUGUCUCUCUUCUUCUGGCUUAUAAAAACACCUUGGCUCGGAUAUUACAUCAACCUCUGCCUCUUAUUAAAAACCCCUGCUCCGGUUGUGCAGAUUUCAUGCUGUUACAUGAAAGUAAAAUUUUAUGACCAGAAGCUGAAAUUAGGAAGGAAACUUUUUUUUGUUGUCGUGGGUUGGAUUUUGUUGGUAGUCAUGAGGGUUUGUUUAUUUUUGCUUUUUCUAAAGCACAGCCAACUCCUCCGGGUCUCAGCACUCUGGCCUUUUUGGGGGAUGCUUGUUCCAAACAGGUGCUAACGUGGGGGAAGCUGAGCCCUGGACAGAGCAAGGGGAUGGGUGAUGUCCUCCCUCCGCUACUGUGGUUGCCUUCAAGCAAGCAGGGUUUUCAUGGCUGUUUCAGAAUAGGAUAUAUACAUGAGAGAGCAAAUGCGUUUCAUUGCGUGGGACACAGGUCCUGGGUGUCUGGCCUGGAACAGUCUCGUGUUGUGAGCAUAGUAACCAGUGCGAGCUAUUCCCUCCUCUCAGACUCCUCUGUAAAUCCAGAUCUGAUAGAUGGUAGUUUGGUUUGAGCCCGUACUCAACACCAGUUGCUUGUUGACUGGGUAGUGCCAGCAGACUUUUUUUUUUUUGCCAGCUCUCACUUUAAAUGUAGUACUACUGUUUUUCCAUUAACUCCUCCCUCCCUGCUAAAGAAAACUACGGGAGGAUGAAAAAAUGUUCUAAAAGGUCAUUUGGUCCUUCCUUGUUGGGUGAGCUACAGUGAACCUGAGGAGUUACUACAUCUGAAGAUGUUAAGAGUUGCAUGGGAUUAGAUAAAAAUUAUAGCUAUGAAUUCAGUAUUGGUUUCUUGGGGGACCUUGGCAAGGCAGCUUUGCAUCUCCAGGAUCCAUCACAGCCCCCGUCGCUCCCCAGCCCUUGGGACGGAUUCAAAGACCCCUGGGCUGGUGGGAACAGCCAUGUGGGGCCAGCCCAGCCAGCCCAGCUGUGACUCGAGGCUGGGGACCUCUCCGGGCACAGCUUCUGCUGGAGCACCUUGGGGAUGGAGCAGCCAGAGGACGUUUCGGGGGACUUCAGGGCACGGAUCUCCUCCCCCCGCAGGCCCGGGAGCGGAGCUGGGCUCCUGCUGCAUCCCCGCUCCAGAGACACUCGCCACGGUUGGGAUGGGGGAUGUAGGUCAAGCCCCAUGGCCCCUCCGUUUCCUUCCAGCCCAAAUGUCUGUGCAACCUACUCCUGCCCUUGGAAGAUUUACGGAGCAGCAGGCUGGGAUGCCAGAGGAGGACGCAGCUCAGCAUUCGGAGCCAAAUUAACGCUGCAGAGAUCACCGGUCUGUGGUAGGGAUGUGGAGUGAUCCAGUGCUUUGGUCUGGGGCCACCUUGAGUCUGAGGCCGAAACUAAACACUCGUAGGCUCUGUGGAGGUGAAACCACCUGCGUCAAAUGCCAAAAUCUGCUUUUGCUGUGUGGCUGGUGACGUGUCAGGCUCUUGAAAGAGGUGUUGCAUCCUAGCUACCUGAAGGCUGAUCCCAGAUGCAGAGGUGAUGGGGGAACUAGGUCAAGAACAAGAGGCAAGAUAGUGAUUUUGGUCUUCAGCUGUUUGUGCAAAGACCUUCGUCAAGGCCAGGUUUUGACAGACUGGACUGACGCUGUCAUGUUGUGACACCAAACCAUUUCUCGGUCACGAGUGGAUUUUUAUCUUCCCAGUGCCCGCUGGAGGUCGGGAACGGGUACAAGCUCCAUCGGUGGUCACCUGAGGUUCUCACAGAGAAUCUGGGAGCAGACCUUGCAUGGCAUUCAAUCUGCUAGACCAGGCUUUCCAACCCCUCCUGGCCCCGUUACCUUAAACCUGCCCAAUCUGGGAUACAUCCAUGCCAAAGAGGGACAGCAGCAAGCCCAGGGCAGGAUCUGGCCAGCGAGGGGCUGCCUCCUUCCCCCCUCCGCCUGCACACAUCUCCAUUUUUUAGGCAUUGCAACAGUUGAAAAAUGAACUUUGUGUCCAUUUUAUCAUAAAAGAUCCGGGGCUUUUUAAGCCCAGCUUUAUAAACAGUGAUGAAAGGUCCUGCAACGGGCAGAGGUCUGCUUUUGAAAUUGAACAAAUUGUCGUUUUAUGGUUCCCGUGUGUGGGGGGUGCUGUAAAUCUCCGAGCAUUUAACGCAUCUGUUCUUUUCCAACCACGCUACCAGCGUCUCAAGGAGGAGAGGGAGAAAUAUCUGACAUUUCCUGACAUCGGCUGCUCUCAUGGCCCCUGGGAGUUCCUCAGGAAAGUUUUUAAAGUAAUAUUUAUGGAUGAUCAUGGUGAAUCAGGCCCUAAAAGGUACAGAGAAAGGACUGUUGUUCAUUAACAUUUGGAAACUGUGCACUGUGGAUUUCCCUGUGGAGGGGCAAAAGAAAUGGAGUGAAAGUGAAAUAGCUUUCGAGUUAAUCCAGAUCUUUUUUAACAUUAUUGUUGUUGGUAAAAAUCGGAACCUUAUUUUGGAUG